RNAcentral lists this ribosomal RNA (774 nucleotides) under Salmonella enterica subsp. enterica serovar Paratyphi B var. L(+) tartrate +. RNAcentral's name for it is "partial 23S ribosomal RNA". It matches the Rfam family "Bacterial large subunit ribosomal RNA", at positions 711 to 1486 of the family's 2925-position model. Lineage: Bacteria; Pseudomonadati; Pseudomonadota; Gammaproteobacteria; Enterobacterales; Enterobacteriaceae. The record is from RNAcentral.
AGACCCGAAACCCGGUGAUCUAGCCAUGGGCAGGUUGAAGGUUGGGUAACACUAACUGGAGGACCGAACCGACUAAUGUUGAAAAAUUAGCGGAUGACCUGUGGCUGGGGGUGAAAGGCCAAUCAAACCGGGAGAUAGCUGGUUCUCCCCGAAAGCUAUUUAGGUAGCGCCUCGUGAAUUCAUCUCCGGGGGUAGAGCACUGUUUCGGCUAGGGGGCCAUCCCGGCUUACCAACCCGAUGCAAACUGCGAAUACCGGAGAAUGUUAUCACGGGAGACACACGGCGGGUGCUAACGUCCGUCGUGAAGAGGGAAACAACCCAGACCGCCAGCUAAGGUCCCAAAGUCAUGGUUAAGUGGGAAACGAUGUGGGAAGGCCCAGACAGCCAGGAUGUUGGCUUAGAAGCAGCCAUCAUUUAAAGAAAGCGUAAUAGCUCACUGGUCGAGUCGGCCUGCGCGGAAGAUGUAACGGGGCUAAACCAUGCACCGAAGCUGCGGCAGCGACGCUUAUGCGUUGUUGGGUAGGGGAGCGUUCUGUAAGCCUGUGAAGGUGUGUCGUGAGGCAUGCUGGAGGUAUCAGAAGUGCGAAUGCUGACAUAAGUAACGAUAAAGCGGGUGAAAAGCCCGCUCGCCGGAAGACCAAGGGUUCCUGUCCAACGUUAAUCGGGGCAGGGUGAGUCGACCCCUAAGGCGAGGCCGAAAGGCGUAGUCGAUGGGAAACGGGUUAAUAUUCCCGUACUUGGUGUUACUGCGAAGGGGGGACGGAGAAGGCUAUG